CACGUAGGGUGCGAGCGUUGUCCGGAAUUAUUGGGCGUAAAGAGCUCGUAGGCGGUGUGUCGCGUCGGCCGUGAAAACCUGCAGCUUAACUGUGGGCUUGCAGCCGAUACGGGCGGGCUGGAGUUCGGUAGGGGAGACUGGAAUUCCUGGUGUAGCGGUGGAAUGCGCAGAUAUCAGGAGGAACACCGGUGGCGAAGGCGGGUCUCUGGGCCGAUACUGACGCUGAGGAGCGAAAGCGUGGGGAGCGAACAGG
Molecule: ribosomal RNA, 253 nt
Filed under: uncultured bacterium
Lineage: Bacteria
Description: partial 16S ribosomal RNA
Rfam family: Bacterial small subunit ribosomal RNA
Source: RNAcentral